UUCUAUCAUUCAAUGUCAGCCGUUUCGUUUCUCUUUUCCUUCUUCUCAAUGAAAUGAAACGCCUUUGUGAAGAGUUCUUUGUGAAGCCCUAGCUAUUUUCAUCGAUUCUAUUUCGUUUGAUUGCGAUUAAAACCUAUCAGAUGGUUUUCUCUGAGAUAUUUUUUCCCUUUCGUAUUGAUCGAUAACAUGGAAUCAUCGUUCAAUGGAUUUUCAAAUGAUUAAUCGUAGAAUGAUUCCUUCUUUUAGCAGAUGGGAGGAUACAUUGAAUUCGCAAAGGUGUAUUUUUCCAAGUAUCCUUGCUAAUCCAAACAAUAGCAGGAGAGAAACAAUUCCGGUGUAUGGUACAAACAGGUUCCGACAAGAAAUUCUACAUCGGAAUUUUGUAAAGUGGGUCUACUAUAAAAGCAAAUGAGUUUUACUACAAAGACGGCUUCCUACAGGAGAAAUUCUUAGGGUAGUGCAAUUUACCAUAUAAAAGUUAAAUCUUACAAGCAAAUAUAUCAGCAGUACGAAAGUGCAAAUGGCAAGCUGAACGUGACUGUUUAUAUUGAUGACUCAGUGGGUGAUUUGCUAUGCCUUCUUGAAGCUGAUACCGGGGUCAAAAGUAAGAAGUAAGCAUGGAUUCAAUUUCACUCCUCUCCCUGGGGUUGUGAAUAAGCAGAUAGAAUUCGUCAAAAGCAACUAAUCAUCUGGUUGGGAGGGUGUAUCUGGAGUUCGUUGGUUAGGAUAGAUACAUAGCAGACCAAAAAGCUCUUGAUGUUUCCUGUAAUUUGCCAAAAAACUUUGGUCCGACUGUUGAGAUUGUUCCUGUCUUGCCUAUAUCCGGUUAUGUAAUAUUCAACUCUGACCACUUAUUUCAAGCUUACUGGGGUCAUGUAAUUGUGGUGCUAAUUUGUUAACCCUUUGCACCAUUAGUAGCUUUUCAACCCAUUCUUGAGUGUCUUGACGUUUCUUCUUAGAUCCAUAUUGAACAAACAUUUUUGUUUUAGAAGAAUCUGAAUUUGUCACUAUUAAUGUUCUAUCCUCACUUCGGAUUUUUAUA
RNA transcript from Papaver somniferum (opium poppy), 1042 nucleotides. RefSeq lists it as uncharacterized. The transcript is spliced from 4 exons. Lineage: Eukaryota; Viridiplantae; Streptophyta; Magnoliopsida; Ranunculales; Papaveraceae. The record is from RefSeq and is a predicted model, not a curated record.